GACGAACGCUGGCGGCGUGCUUAACACAUGCAAGUCGAACGGUAAGGCCCUUCGGGGUACACGAGUGGCGAACGGGUGAGUAACACGUGGGUGAUCUGCCCUGCACUUCGGGAUAAGCCUGGGAAACUGGGUCUAAUACCGGAUAGGACUCCUGGCUUCCUGGUUGGGGGUGGCAAGCUUUUGCGGUGUGGGAUGGGCCCGCGGCCUAUCAGCUUGUUGGUGGGGUAAUGGCCUACCAAGGCGACGACGGGUAGCCGGCCUGAGAGGGUGACCGGUCACACUGGGACUGAGAUACGGCCCAGACUCCUACGGGAGGUAGCAGUGGGGAAUAUUGCACAAUGGGCGCAAGCCUGAUGCAGCGACGCCGCGUGAGGGAUGACGGCCUUCGGGUUGUAAACCUUUUUCAGCUAUGACGAAGCGCAAGUGACGGUAGUAGCAGAAGAAGGACCGGCCAACUACGUGCCAGCAGCCGCCGUAA
Molecule: ribosomal RNA, 478 nt
Filed under: uncultured bacterium
Lineage: Bacteria
Description: partial 16S ribosomal RNA
Rfam family: Bacterial small subunit ribosomal RNA
Source: RNAcentral